This 508-nucleotide long non-coding RNA is filed under the name Medicago truncatula (barrel medic). RNAcentral describes it as "lncRNA gene38621". Lineage: Eukaryota; Viridiplantae; Streptophyta; Magnoliopsida; Fabales; Fabaceae. The record is from RNAcentral.
GUUUCUAGAUGCUACGCAUUUGCUUUGUUUUUCAUGUUUUGAAUGUUAUGUACAUCAAGCACACGUGAAAGAGUAAAUUGUUCUUUUAUAUAAAUAGUAAAAAACUUGAUAAUGGGUUUACAAAUAUAAAUAGAAAAAAAUGCAAUUAUUGGAUGCUAAUACAUUAGGACCUCUUAUUAAAUGUUCUAGUCUAAGGUACAUUGCACAAAUCUUAUACACUCUCAAGUCUAGUAUUAUGUAUCUUCAGAGUUAACGAUUUGACAACGGAAAUUGAUGCACCUCAUAACAAAAGGUAGCAUAAAAAUUUGUGGACAAUCGAUAUUGGCUAUACAUUCAACAGACCCUAAUAAUAGAAAAUGAGAAUAAAAUAUUAUUAAUAAAAUAAGAUAAAAUAAGGAAAUUAGAAAAUUAUGAAAUAAAAGGCUUUACCGUCCUCUUUUGUCGUGACAAGAAGCAUGGAAAGAAAUAGAGUCAUAAAAUAAACAAAUUUGAUAAUUUUAACCAUAUU